This 468-nucleotide ribosomal RNA is filed under the name uncultured bacterium. RNAcentral describes it as "partial 16S ribosomal RNA". It matches the Rfam family "Bacterial small subunit ribosomal RNA", at positions 28 to 507 of the family's 1533-position model. The record is from RNAcentral.
GACGAACGCUGGCGGCGUGCUUAACACAUGCAAGUCGAACGGAAAGGCCCUGCUUUUGUGGGGUGCUCGAGUGGCUAACGGGUGAGUGACACGUGAGUAACCUGCCCUUGACUUUGGGAUAACUUCAGGAAACUGGGGCUAAUACCGGAUAGGAGCUCCUGCUGCAUGGUGGGGGUUGGAAAGUUUCGGCGGUUGGGGAUGGACUCGCGGCUUAUCAGCUUGUUGGUGGGGUAGUGGCUUACCAAGGCUUUGACGGGUAGCCGGCCUGAGAGGGUGACCGGCCACAUUGGGACUGAGAUACGGCCCAGACUCCUACGGGAGGCAGCAGUGGGGAAUAUUGCACAAUGGGCGGAAGCCUGAUGCAGCAACGCCGCGUGCGGGAUGACGGCCUUCGGGUUGUAAACCGCUUUCGCCUGUGACGAAGCGUGAGUGACGGUAAUGGGUAAAGAAGCACCGGCUAACUACGUG